UACGUAGGGUGCAAGCGUUAAUCGGAAUUACUGGGCGUAAAGCGUGCGCAGGCGGUUGUGCAAGACAGGUGUGAAAUCCCCGGGCUCAACCUGGGAACUGCAUUUGGGACUGCACGGCUGGAGUGCGGCAGAGGGGGAUGGAAUUCCGCGUGUAGCAGUGAAAUGCGUAGAUAUGCGGAGGAACACCGAUGGCGAAGGCGAUCCCCUGGGCCUGCACUGACGCUCAUGCACGAAAGCGUGGGGAGCAAACAGG
Molecule: ribosomal RNA, 253 nt
Filed under: uncultured bacterium
Lineage: Bacteria
Description: partial 16S ribosomal RNA
Rfam family: Bacterial small subunit ribosomal RNA
Source: RNAcentral